RNAcentral lists this unclassified non-coding RNA (342 nucleotides) under Hevea brasiliensis (rubber tree). The record is from RNAcentral. Lineage: Eukaryota; Viridiplantae; Streptophyta; Magnoliopsida; Malpighiales; Euphorbiaceae.
GAGUUGCAAGAGAAGAGAGCUUUUGUAGUUUAGAUAAGAAUAAUACAAACAUAGCCACAAUCAACUGUCGCCGAUUGGGUGUGACAGAUGAAACAUUGCUGCAACCUUUGGAUGGAAACUCGAAUUUAAGGGCACUUCUUCUCACCAAAGCCAAAUACAUUGGCUUCACUAAGAAGGUUGCAUUGGCUCAAGUCAAGUCUCUCCGGGUUUUAGACCUCUCGCACCUUAAGUUUAAGGAGAGUUCCGAAUUUUGUGAAGAUGAUAUGUGGCGUUGGAUCACAUCUUUGAAACGCCUAAAUUAUUUGAGCUUCCGAGACGUGGAAAAUUUGACCAAACUGCCAC